RNAcentral lists this ribosomal RNA (465 nucleotides) under uncultured bacterium. Its description in RNAcentral is "partial 16S ribosomal RNA". It matches the Rfam family "Bacterial small subunit ribosomal RNA", at positions 338 to 795 of the family's 1533-position model. The record is from RNAcentral.
CCUACGGGAGGCAGCAGUGGGGAAUAUUGCGCAAUGGGCGAAAGCCUGACGCAGCGACGCCGCGUGAGGGAUGAAGGUCUUCGGAUCGUAAACCUCUGUCAGCAGGGAAGAACGGUCACUGUGCUAAUCAGCAGUGCAUUGACGGUACCUGCAAAGGAAGCACCGGCUAACUCCGUACCAGCAGCCGCGGUAAUACGGAGGGUGCGAGCGUUAAUCGGAAUUACUGGGCGGAAAGCUCUCGUAGGCGGUAUGUCAAGUCAAGGGUGAAAUCCCCGCGCUCAACGUGGGAACUGCCUUUGAAACUGGAAAACUGGAGUGUGUUAGAGGAUAGUGGAAUUGCAGGUGUAGGAGUGAAAUCCGUAGAUAUCUGGAGGAACAUCAGUGGCGAAGGCGACUAUCUGGCACAUAACUGACGCUGAGGAGCGAAAGCGUGGGUAGCAAACAGGAUUAGAUACCCGAGUAGGC